Molecule: ribosomal RNA, 350 nt
Filed under: uncultured bacterium
Lineage: Bacteria
Description: bacterial SSU rRNA
Rfam family: Bacterial small subunit ribosomal RNA
Source: RNAcentral
GGGCCCGCACAAGCGGUGGAGCAUGUGGUUUAAUUCGAUGCAACGCGAAAAAACCUUACCAGGCCUUGACAUCCUGAGAACUUUCUAGAGAUAGAUUGGUGCCUUCGGGAACUCAGUGACAGGUGUUGCAUGGCUGUCGUCAGCUCGUGUCGUGAGAUGUUGGGUUAAGUCCCGUAACGAGCGCAACCCUUAUCCUUAUUUGCCAGCACGUAAUGGUGGGAACUCUAAGGAGACUGCCGGUGACAAACCGGAGGAAGGAGAGGAUGAUGUCAAGUCAUCAUGGCCCUUACGGCCUGGGCUACACACGUGCUACAAUGGGCAGUACAGAGGGCCGCAAACCCCGCGAGGGG